RNAcentral lists this ribosomal RNA (1092 nucleotides) under Triticum aestivum (bread wheat). RNAcentral describes it as "partial small subunit ribosomal RNA". The record is from RNAcentral. Lineage: Eukaryota; Viridiplantae; Streptophyta; Magnoliopsida; Poales; Poaceae.
AUGGGGUACCUGCCGUCGUCCCUGGGCAGCAAGGCGGCGCACUUCGUGUCCGACCUCACCACCGUCAUCCUCAACCCCGUCUCCGAGCGCGAGCCCUCCCACCUCCCCGAGGAGGACGAAGAGCAAGAAAAAUCAGAAGAUGACAAAGAUUCUGACCAUAAUUCUGAUAACCCUGACGGCCCCGAUACAUCUUCGUUCAGAGCAUUCAUGAUCUCAUUUUUGUCGCCGUCUAGCUCUUUUAACGAUUCAAGGGAGAUAAUCCCCGAGCAGAGCGAAGAAAUGGGAUACCCAACUUUAACACCAGUUGGGAAGGCAACCAAGGGAAAGACAGGCUUGCUAAGCAGAGGGAAGCAUUCCAUUGGAAAAAUUAUUAAUAAAGCGGCUAAGAUGAGCGGUUUCAAACAAAAUUCAGAACCCAAAAUUGACAAAGAGGUGGUAAAUAAUGCUGAAUCAGUUGCACCUGCGUUGGAGCUCGAAGGACCAAAUGAAGUUAAUUCCCUGACCAACAUGCCAGCUAUGUCAGAGCCAUCUGUCCUUUUGUCAGAAACAAUGCGAUCCACUCUUUAUUCUUCUCUUCCUAUUCUGGCCCAAGGAAGGAGCUGGGUUUUGCUAUACAGCACAUCGAGGCAUGGAAUAUCUCUAUCUACUUUAUAUAGAAGGAGUUUGCUGUGCCCUGGUUACUCACUCCUGGUAGUUGGGGACAGAAAGGGGGCGGUUUUUGGUGGUCUAGUUGAGGCUCCAUUACAGCCAACUAGCACAAAGAAGUAUCAGGGUACCAAUAACUGCUUUGUUUUCACUAAUUUACACAGUGAUCCUGCUAUAUACCGGCCAACAGGUGCCAAUAAGUAUUAUACUGUGUGCUCUGCUGACUAUUUGGCACUAGGAGGUGGAGGUCAUUUCGCACUUUAUCUAGACUCAGACCUUUUGAGUGGUUCAAGUUCAAAUUCGGAGACUUUUAACAACCAGUGUUUGUCACAUUCUCCAGAUUUUGCAGUUAAAGACGUUGAGCUAUGGGGCUUCGUCUAUCCUUCAAGGUACGAAGAGAUGCUCAAGCUCUGUCGUACUGAGAAGCCAGGGGUAUGCCGAUUUUGA